This 301-nucleotide ribosomal RNA is filed under the name uncultured bacterium. Its description in RNAcentral is "partial 16S ribosomal RNA". It matches the Rfam family "Bacterial small subunit ribosomal RNA", at positions 509 to 807 of the family's 1533-position model. The record is from RNAcentral.
CAGUCGCCGCGGUAAUACGAAGGGGGCUAGCGUUGUUCGGAUUUACUGGGCGUAAAGCGCACGUAGGCGGACUUUUAAGUCAGGGGUGAAAUCCCGGGGCUCAACCCCGGAACUGCCUUUGAUACUGGAAGUUUUGAGUAUGGUAGAGGUGAGUGGAAUUCCGAGUGUAGAGGUGAAAUUCGUAGAUAUUCGGAGGAACACCAGUGGCGAAGGCGGCUCACUGGACCAUUACUGACGCUGAGGUGCGAAAGCGUGGGGAGCAAACAGGAUUAGAUACCCCCGUAGUCCCUGUCUCUUAUAC